RNAcentral lists this ribosomal RNA (2262 nucleotides) under Ligilactobacillus ruminis. Its description in RNAcentral is "bacterial LSU rRNA". The stretch from base 1 to 1537 matches the Rfam family "Bacterial small subunit ribosomal RNA". Lineage: Bacteria; Bacillati; Bacillota; Bacilli; Lactobacillales; Lactobacillaceae. The record is from RNAcentral.
GGACGAACGCUGGCGGCGUGCCUAAUACAUGCAAGUCGAACGAAGCUUUCUUUCACCGAAUGCUUGCAUUCACCGAAAGAAGCUUAGUGGCGAACGGGUGAGUAACACGUAGGCAACCUGCCCAAAAGAGGGGGAUAACACUUGGAAACAGGUGCUAAUACCGCAUAACCAUGAACACCGCAUGAUGUUCAUGUAAAAGACGGCUUUUGCUGUCACUUUUGGAUGGGCCUGCGGCGUAUUAACUUGUUGGUGGGGUAACGGCCUACCAAGGUGAUGAUACGUAGCCGAACUGAGAGGUUGAUCGGCCACAUUGGGACUGAGACACGGCCCAAACUCCUACGGGAGGCAGCAGUAGGGAAUCUUCCACAAUGGACGAAAGUCUGAUGGAGCAACGCCGCGUGAAUGAAGAAGGCCUUCGGGUCGUAAAAUUCUGUUGUCAGAGAAGAACGUGCGUGAGAGUAACUGUUCACGUAUUGACGGUAUCUGACCAGAAAGCCACGGCUAACUACGUGCCAGCAGCCGCGGUAAUACGUAGGUGGCGAGCGUUGUCCGGAUUUAUUGGGCGUAAAGGGAACGCAGGCGGUCUUUUAAGUCUGAUGUGAAAGCCUUCGGCUUAACCGAAGUAGUGCAUUGGAAACUGGAAGACUUGAGUGCAGAAGAGGAGAGUGGAACUCCAUGUGUAGCGGUGAAAUGCGUAGAUAUAUGGAAGAACACCAGUGGCGAAAGCGGCUCUCUGGUCUGUAACUGACGCUGAGGUUCGAAAGCGUGGGUAGCAAACAGGAUUAGAUACCCUGGUAGUCCACGCCGUAAACGAUGAGUGCUAAGUGUUGGAGGGUUUCCGCCCUUCAGUGCUGCAGCUAACGCAUUAAGCACUCCGCCUGGGGAGUACGGUCGCAAGACUGAAACUCAAAGGAAUUGACGGGGGCCCGCACAAGCGGUGGAGCAUGUGGUUUAAUUCGAAGCAACGCGAAGAACCUUACCAGGUCUUGACAUCUUCUGACAAUUCCAGAGAUGGAACGUUCCCUUCGGGGACAGAAUGACAGGUGGUGCAUGGUUGUCGUCAGCUCGUGUCGUGAGAUGUUGGGUUAAGUCCCGCAACGAGCGCAACCCUUAUUGUCAGUUGCCAUCAUUAAGUUGGGCACUCUGGCGAGACUGCCGGUGACAAACCGGAGGAAGGUGGGGAUGACGUCAAAUCAUCAUGCCCCUUAUGACCUGGGCUACACACGUGCUACAAUGGACGGUACAACGAGUCGCUAACUCGCGAGGGCAAGCUAAUCUCUUAAAGCCGUUCUCAGUUCGGAUUGCAGGCUGCAACUCGCCUGCAUGAAGUCGGAAUCGCUAGUAAUCGCGAAUCAGCAUGUCGCGGUGAAUACGUUCCCGGGCCUUGUACACACCGCCCGUCACACCAUGAGAGUUUGUAACACCCAAAGUCGGUGGGGUAACCUUUUGGAGCCAGCCGCCUAAGGUGGGACAGAUGAUUGGGGUGAAGUCGUAACAAGGUAGCCGUAGGAGAACCUGCGGCUGGAUCACCUCCUUUCUAAGGAAUAAAUUACGGAAUCUGCACAUGRUUCGAAACUUUGUUUAGUUUUGAGGGAUUUGUUUCCUCAAAACUUGUUCUUUGAAAACUAGAUAAUAUUUUAUUUCUUUGUUAAUUUUUAUAACCGAGAACACCGCGUUUUAAAGAGUUUAAAACAAGAAAUUAGUUUUUAAUCGCAAAACUCAUAACCGUUUAUCGCAAGAUAAAUAUUAUAGGUUAAGUUAUUAAGGGCGCAUGGUGGAUGCCUUGGCACUAGGAGCCGAUGAAGGACGUGACUAACUGCGAUAUGCUUCGGKGAGUCGUAAGUAGACUGUGAUCCGGAGAUUUCCGAAUGGGGAAACCCAACAGGUUUUGCCUGUUAUCGCUCAAUGAAUUCAUAGUUGAGCUGAAGGUAGACGCGGGGAACUGAAACAUCUAAGUACCCGCAGGAAGAGAAAGAAAAUUCGAUUCCCUAAGUAGCGGCGAGCGAACGGGGAACAGCCCAAACCAGAGAGCUUGCUCUUUGGGGUUGUAGGACUGGACAUCUGAGUUACCAAGAAAUAACGUAGUCGAAUGAUAUGGGAAGAUCAGCCAGAGAAGGUAACAGCCCUGUAAACGAAACGUUGUUUCCUCAGUCCAGGAUCCUGAGUACGGCGGAACACGUGAAACUCCGUCGGAAUCCGGGAGGACCAUCUCCCAAGGCUAAAUACUCCCUAGUGACCGAUAGUGAACCAGUACCGUGAGGG